UACGUAGGGGGCAAGCGUUGUCCGGAUUUAUUGGGCGUAAAGAGCGUGUAGGCGGCUUUACAGGUCCGUUGUGAAAACUCGAGGCUCAACCUCGAGACGCCGGUGGAAACCGUAAGGCUAGAGUCCGGAAGAGGAGAGUGGAAUUCCUGGUGUAGCGGUGAAAUGCGCAGAUAUCAGGAGGAACACCCGUGGCGAAAGCGGCUCUCUGGGACGGUGACUGACGCUGAGGCGCGAAAGCGUGGGGAGCAAACGGG
Molecule: ribosomal RNA, 254 nt
Filed under: uncultured bacterium
Lineage: Bacteria
Description: partial 16S ribosomal RNA
Rfam family: Bacterial small subunit ribosomal RNA
Source: RNAcentral